Long non-coding RNA from Zea mays, 1217 nucleotides. RefSeq lists it as uncharacterized. The transcript is spliced from 2 exons. The record is from RefSeq and is a predicted model, not a curated record. Lineage: Eukaryota; Viridiplantae; Streptophyta; Magnoliopsida; Poales; Poaceae.
CUGAUCUUUUCAUCGUGUGUGACUGUAGAGGCACUAUCUCUUCACCAGUGCCUAGCCAUAGUGCUGCUAGAGCUCGUCAGCGCACUCUGCUCCCCUGGCGCUGCUCUAGGUUCAGUCGGCGUCUUCCUCACGUUGCUGGUCGGCAGAGCUCGCCUGGCUUCAACCUCCGCCCUGCCCUGCUUGACCCCACUCGCCCAUCCCUGUUCCCGACGCCCGAGCUCACCUCAGCUCCGUUGUGCCCCUGUGUUCAGCCUCCUUCCUCCAUCAGCGGACGUGCUCGGUCUCAGCCGCGCCCCUGCACCCACCCUUGCCGGUGACGGCUGCUGCGAGCGCCCCUUCAUUCUCCCCAGCCUCGCUGUGGCCAGCAACUUCAAAUCCAUGGGUGAGCCAGCCUCUUCACCUUGCCGCGCGCUGGGAGCCUCUCUCUGCUCGACCCGGUGUGGUGCUCUGGCCGUGCGUCCACUCCACUACGACGUCGAGCCUCCCUGCUGCCCGCAACUAUCACAUUAGCCAUCGUGGCGUCAUUAUUUCCUGCUGCGCCGCGACAUCGUCAAGCUCCGGUGCUUAGCGUCGAAGUCGCUGCGCCCUUGUCGCUCUGGCUUCCUUUGUCUUCACGUGGUGUGUGGCGGUCGUGUCCAAAUCCAUGGCAUCAAUGUCUGCAUCCCUAGCAUCGUCGUCAUUUCAGCAGCUUGUUGCACCUUGCGUUCACGCCGGAAGAUGAAAGGAAAGCGCCAGUGCAACGCUCGUCAAGUAUAAAUGCGUCGUCGAUUUCGUGGUUUCAAAUUGGAUUUAGCUUUGGUACGCUAGCUGAGAAUCGUACGAAGCAAAGGACAUGGACCAAAGCAGACCACAAGACGAUGUCGGCCGGUGAAUUGGAAAAAAUGGACAGACUGAACGAGUGCCAAGACAAAGGAUGAUCGUCAAGUGAUCGUCAUCUAACAAACACUAACCUAGUGUUAUUCUAGACAAGCCCCGGUGCAUUCACCUCUUUCCUUAUUGUUUACAAUAUUUUAUCACCUUGAAUGAUGCAUUAGGUGAUAGGAGUUGUGUGAUCAAACAGUUGAUGCAUUUCCUUCCUUAAUUAAACAACCCUAAUAACUGUUUUAUGAAAAUUUAGUGAUGCUUAGCCCUGCUUAUUAAUUUAGGAUUGUUUUUAAAAGAUGAUGUGUAACACGGGAUAUGAGAGUUUGUGAAAUAAAAGGGCUUGUGAUGAUGAA